GCGCCCGUAGCUCAGGGGACUAGAGCAGCGGAUUUCUAAUCCGCGGGUCGGUGGUUCGAAUCCACCCGGGCGCG
Molecule: non-coding RNA, 74 nt
Organism: Verrucomicrobia subdivision 6 bacterium BACL9 MAG-120924-bin69
Lineage: Bacteria; Pseudomonadati; Verrucomicrobiota; Verrucomicrobiia; Verrucomicrobiales; Verrucomicrobia subdivision 6
Source: Rfam